UGGAUGUGUAUUUUAAUAAAAAUAAUUCUGUCAAAAUUAAACGAGUACAAUAUUUCUUUAACAUGUUGCCAGUACAUAUGUAUGUUUUUUUUUCUUUUCAGCUAUCGUUUUCUCUUUUUUUUUUUCGUUUUGUUUUUAAAUCAUCUUCAUCAACUCAUGUAGCAGAAUAAGAAACGAGAGCUCAUAUGUUGAAUGAACACACUAUCGGAAACUGCACAAAGUAUAACCUAAAGGAGUAGCCGUAAACACAUCAAGAACAUGUGAGUAGAAUGGUAUACUCUUUUGCGAACCACAGUUUGGCUUUUAGCUCAUGUUUAUCUGGACCCAGGUGUAUUUCAGACCUGGGAUUAUGUACGUAAUCUCUAGUCCAGUGCUUCUCUAUCUUGGAGUACAGCAUGCACAUGUGGAUAUUUUGCUUGCCUGCUUCAACCCAUAACCUGACUAACAAACCUCAACCAGCUUGAAUUGGGCGAGUUACUAAAAUGUGCACGCCUGGGGUAGUCCAUGACCACCGUUGAGAAACAUAGCUAUGGACCAUUCUUGAAAAGUUCGGAAAUCUUGGAACUGUUCAGUGAAAAAAACAACUAAAUGCAGCUAAUGCACAGGCUGUGUAGUCUCUACUACUGCUUCCUGUGACGUGAACAGGGUUGUUUGCAAUCUGAGUGAGGUAUAACUGAAUACAAUGCAAUACAUCUAAAAACAAUGGAACAUACAGGGGUAAAAUAAAGGAUGUAACAAUCGUAUGGUGACCAACAGUGAAAGGAGAUUAAUGCUGAGGAAACGGCAGGUUCUGGGGAAGAAACUUGGUUUUGUUUAUGGCCAGAGGCCAAGAGAACUUUAAAAGAAGUGAGUACCGUAGAAUAAAAAUUAUGUAUUUGUGUGCCAUAUACACCUAAAUGAGGGGUAGGAGACCACUUUGUUCACGUCCUGCAGUGACAGAGUCAAUAUUGUGUGUAGUGAUAAUGUCACAACUUGUGAUGGCAUGACAGCGAGAAGGUGUGAGACAGUCAGAAAAUGGACUGAAGAGAAAUGUGAAGGAAGGAACAAAGCUUGCAAUGGAGCAAAGAACAAAAGAGGCAAGAAAAUAAAAGAACCACCUAACUCCAAACCCCUCAUUCAUUUUACGGAUAUUCCACUCUAUAAUCGCUGAAGUACAGUUUCUCCAACAGUCGUCUUAAUCAGUCCAACACCUACAAAUAUACAAUCAGUAGAGAUGGUGUAGAUAAUUUGAGGAAACCCCUCAUCAUAAACACUAUCCUAGCAGAUACUAAAUGUAGGAACUGUGGAGCACGUUAGUCAGUUUCCAAGCUUCUAAUGUUGCAGUCAAAGUUAAUGAAAUUAUUCAUCUUGAUUUACUUUGACAAAAACUUCAUAUUUUUAUUCAAUGCAGUCACACACACACACACACACACACACACACACACACACACACACACACCAACAGGUUAAAUUUCCAUAAAGCUGACCAAAAAUGAUAAAAGCUGGGGUUUCACAUAAGUGUACUCUAUAAAGAUCAUCAUUAAAAUAGAAGCUUUGUUUUGAAGUGAGAGAAACCAGAGCUUUAUAAAAAAUACUUAUCAAGUCUGGGUCUACAAUGCAUUUGUAUGAUUCGCAAUCUAAUAAAAAGACCAGUGCUGGUGCCUGACGUAAACUAUUAGCUUGGAGGUGAGACACAAGGGAACUCCGCACCUUCUCGAAAAUCUUGAACACGCUUUUCAAAUAUCAAAAAAA
Ictalurus punctatus (channel catfish) is the source of this 1731-nucleotide long non-coding RNA. The record is from Ensembl. NCBI's taxonomy places the organism in Eukaryota, Metazoa, Chordata, Actinopteri, Siluriformes, Ictaluridae.